GACGAACGCUGGCGGCGUGCUUAACACAUGCAAGUCGAACGGAAAGGCCCUGCUUUUGUGGGGUGCUCGAGUGGCGAACGGGUGAGUAACACGUGAGUAACCUGCCCUUGACUUUGGGAUAACUUCAGGAAACUGGGGCUAAUACCGUAUAGGAUCUCCUGCUGCAUGGUGGGGGUUGGAAAGUUUCGGCGGGUGGGGAUGGACUCGCGGCUUAUCAGCUUGUUGGUGGGGUAGUGGCUUACCAAGGCUUUGACGGGUAGCCGGCCUGAGAGGGUGACCGGCCACAUUGGGACUGAGAUACGGCCCAGACUCCUACGGGAGGCAGCAGUGGGGAAUAUUGCACAAUGGGCGGAAGCCUGAUGCAGAAACGCCGCGUGCGGGAUGACGGCCUUCGGGUUGUAAACCGCUUUCGCCUGUGACGAAGCGUGAGUGACGGUAAUGGGUAAAGAAGCACCGGCUAACUACGUG
This 468-nucleotide ribosomal RNA is filed under the name uncultured bacterium. Its description in RNAcentral is "partial 16S ribosomal RNA". It matches the Rfam family "Bacterial small subunit ribosomal RNA", at positions 28 to 507 of the family's 1533-position model. The record is from RNAcentral.